GCCUUCGUAGCUCAGUGGUUAGAGCGCCUGACUUGUAAUCAGGAAGUCGUGGGUUCAAUCCCCACCGAAGGCU
This 73-nucleotide transfer RNA is filed under the name Pseudomonadota bacterium. RNAcentral describes it as "tRNA-Thr". It matches the Rfam family "tRNA". Rfam says of the family: Transfer RNA (tRNA) molecules are approximately 80 nucleotides in length. Their secondary structure includes four short double-helical elements and three loops (D, anti-codon, and T loops). The record is from RNAcentral. Lineage: Bacteria; Pseudomonadati; Pseudomonadota. RNAcentral also lists the same sequence under 3 other names.